UUGGGAAUAUUGCGCAAUGGACGACAGUCUGACGCAGCGACGCCGCGUGGUCGAAGAAGCCCUUCGGGGUGUAAAGACCUUUUUUAGGGGACGAUUGUGACGGUACCCUAAGAAUAAGGGCCUGCUAACUACGUGCCAGCAGCAGCGGUAAUACGUAGGGCUCAAGCGUUGUCCGGAAUUAUUGGGCGUAAAGAGCAUGUAGGUGGAACUUCAAGUCGAAUUUAAAAGGUUCGGGCUCAACCCGAACUCUGGAUUUGAAACUAAAGUUCUCGGAGUUUAGCAGGGGCAAGCGGAAUUCCCGGUGUAGCAGUGAAAUGCGUUGAUAUCGGGAGGAACACCAAUGGCGAAGGCAGCUUGCUAGGCUAAUACUGACACUGAGAUGCGAAAGCGUGGGGAGCGAACGGG
This 405-nucleotide ribosomal RNA is filed under the name uncultured bacterium. RNAcentral's name for it is "bacterial SSU rRNA". It matches the Rfam family "Bacterial small subunit ribosomal RNA", at positions 355 to 776 of the family's 1533-position model. The record is from RNAcentral.